GGAGGGAUGUGUGAGCGGUUGAAACAGGCGGUCUUGAAAACCGCUUAGCCCGAAAGGGCUACGGGGGUUCGAAUCCCUCUCCCUCCG
This 87-nucleotide transfer RNA is filed under the name Acidipila rosea. RNAcentral describes it as "Acidopila rosea tRNA". It matches the Rfam family "tRNA". From Rfam's summary of the family: Transfer RNA (tRNA) molecules are approximately 80 nucleotides in length. The record is from Rfam by way of RNAcentral. Lineage: Bacteria; Pseudomonadati; Acidobacteriota; Terriglobia; Terriglobales; Acidobacteriaceae.